Long non-coding RNA from Pteropus alecto (black flying fox), 1271 nucleotides. RefSeq lists it as uncharacterized. The record is from RefSeq and is a predicted model, not a curated record. NCBI's taxonomy places the organism in Eukaryota, Metazoa, Chordata, Mammalia, Chiroptera, Pteropodidae. The transcript is spliced from 3 exons.
GCCGGGAAGACCUGCGGCGUGGAGACAGCGCAAGCGCAGUGUCCGAUGAGCCCCGCGAAGCUGCUGGCACAUAGAGUUUGGGUCUGCGUGAGGUUCUGCUAGUAACAGUUGUCCGCAUUUGCCCCUGGGAGGUACCGGACCAGUUGAUGAGUGCUCCAGGGCUUCACCCAGGUCUUACAAUUAACCUUCUGGCACCUCGGCCCGGUGGGCAGUGUGCCUGUACUCACGUUCCUACGACAGCGCCGAGGGUCCCGCACCCGGCUGUCUCACUCAGCGUCUGGAGCUGCCCAAACCCGAUCGUCGCCCUGCGCCCCUCCUGCAGACCGACGGACCCUUUCAAGUCACUGAAACCCGAAAGUGAUAGUCAUAUCUACUUCACAGAGUUGGAUUAAUAGGGCUUGUGCAUGCGAGACAAUGUAAAAACGCCUUGGCACAGCGCAGAGCACUCAGCGAGCGGCGGAAAACUUGGUUUAUGAAGUGCUGACCUGGUCCCAUUGGAAGUAGAAAUGCAGUUUCGUGAUUGGACUGGUUCCCUUAAGAAAAUCAAACCCACGUCUCAGAGGCAGUGACGGAGGCUGGGUCGUCUCACAGAAGUCACCCUCCCUGAGUUCCUGGCUUGGGUGACUUGAAGUUGAUAGAUACAGAGCAGCUGAGCUCUGUAGUGGCCAGGUUAUGACAGGGAGCCACCAAGGGAUGGCCAGGUGGAGCAGGCCAGUGGGAGCAGCUGCGCACACUCAGCAAAGCAGGCACAACCCGAGCCUGGGGACGAGCCCGACGCCCAAGGUUGAGAAGAAACCUGUAUGGGGUCUCGGAGGAAGGAGAAGGAUUCUAGAAGCAGGGUCUGGUUCAGUGCCCAGGAAGGAGCACAUAGAGGCCACCAUUGCCUGGCGGAGCCGUCUGGCGGAGCGAGAUCGCAAACCUCAAGCGUGGGGCGUGUCUUAAAGGAGCUCAGCUGUGAGGGAAGAGCAGGGCACCGUGGCUCCUUAGAAAGAAUGCUGAGUCGAGGGAAAGCAAUUUUAAAAUCACGUUUAUUAAGAGUUAUUUUCUGAAGUAAUGUACAUUCGCAUAGAAAGUCGAGAAACACAUAAGCACAACAAAACGUAAUGACAAAUUAUGGCAUCAUAAUAACCGCUGUCAGUACUUAGGUAUACGUCUUUUUUCUUUUUUCUUUUUUUUAUCCUUUUAGGCGAGGCCACCCUUGGUUGAUCUCACAAGAACCUUGUCAGCUUACAAUCCCUUAUUUUUUACUUUUUUUAAAUUUUUUACUCCUA